AGGGGUAUAGCUCAGUUGGUAGAGCAGUGGACUCCAAAUCCAUGUGCCACAGGUUCAAAUCCUGUUACCCUUG
Molecule: transfer RNA, 73 nt
Filed under: Rickettsiales bacterium
Lineage: Bacteria; Pseudomonadati; Pseudomonadota; Alphaproteobacteria; Rickettsiales
Description: tRNA-Trp
Rfam family: tRNA
About the family: Transfer RNA (tRNA) molecules are approximately 80 nucleotides in length. Their secondary structure includes four short double-helical elements and three loops (D, anti-codon, and T loops).
Source: RNAcentral